AUCAGAAGAUUUGGAAGUGUUGAUGGUUUGGUCAUCUUCUGUACCCUUGCAUGAAACUUGGAAACGAUAGUUACUGCACUUUCCUAUAGUGAAAACUUUUGAUGUCUUUGUAAAGAAAGGAGAAGAAUGCAAAUUGGAAAGAGGUGUGGUGGUUAAAGAAGAAGAUGAAGAAGAGAUGACAUUGGUGGUGAGAGGGGGAAGAGAAGCCAUUACUAUAAUUUUUGCUUUGUUUGAGGUGUAGUUCAUGAACAUCUAGGAUUAGCAUUUAUAUAGAAUAUGGAGCAAAGACUUUCCCCUAUAAACUUAUGGUGAAAAAGAAAAAUAAUACUAACCAAAAAGAAAUACAUGUCAGGAAGAUGCUUGCAUAUCUUAACUUCCAGCAGCACGUGAUUUUCUUCGUAUUUAUUUGUUUGUUUAAUUCGUAAUUUGAAAUCAUUAAUACAAAAAUCCACGUUCGUCUGAGGUGUUGUAAGACCUUUUUAUUUAUUUAUUUACAAGAAUGUAAGAACUUGAGUGAUCACUGCACAGCAUAAUACAGAAAUGGAAUUGUCCUUCUAGAUAUAGCUGGUUGGUUUAGAUUUUAGAAUUAAGAAAUUAAUGAUUUUUUCAAAUAUUGUGUCUGCCGUGUCAAAAUUUAAUUAGUUUAGACUUAUUUUUUUUAUUUACAAUUAAGAGCAAGUUCCGAUGCAAUCUCAAAACAGGAAGCAGCUUAUGAAGCUUCAACGCCUUCAAUUAUUCAACAAUUCAACAUGUAGAUAGAUAAUGGUGUUAACCAAUAUUAUAUUGUAAAUAUUUCGGGUUAGUGAGAGUCUUGAAGGGAGCACAUUUUUGACAUAGAAGGGAGCACAUUUUUAGGACAUUUUAGGAGAGGACAUUUUUAGGAGGGAUAGUUUUUAGAGAGGAUUAUUUUUGGAGAGAGGAAGACAUUCUGAAAAUCCUAAGAGAGUGUUGGAGAGUUUAAAAAGAAAAAACAAAAAUAAAGUGAGAGACGAGUUUAGUUUCGGGUUUAAUACACGCGUGAUUGAGUCUGUUUGUGAUGACGUGGGUUGUUGCUGUUUAGUAAUUCAAAUAAACAGGGGAAAAUAUUGCUCAUAAUUAACAAGUAGAUCAGUUUUACAAGUGCGUAUUAUUUUAUUUAUCCAGUUAGGCAAAGAAUCAAGACGUGCAGCCUUGUAUAACAUCAACCGACCAUUCAGUAUAAUGUCGAAAGAGUAGAAUAAGUGGAAAUUAAAAUAAUCUUGCUAAUUUUUUAAAUGCAGGUUAGAGGAUGCUAAAACCCUACAACGAGAGUGCUCGCAUAGCAAAAAGACCAUUGAGGUAGGGAAAAUUUUAUUUUGUCUGUCAUGCAACUAACAUUAGUUGUAUGAGGCAAUUUUUUUGUUUCACAAUUUUGUGGACCCAGAUUUCUGUGAACCCAGAAAUGUAAGAUUGAGGUCCACAAAUUUGUGAGAUAAAAAGGAGCCUCAUACAACUAGUAUAAGUUGUAUAAGACACAAAAUAAAACUUCUCGGAAGGUAGUACUGGUUUGCCCAUUCGGAUUUGUAAAUGCUGAACUUCAAUAUUUAAAAUGGUAGUGAACUCUUAAAAAACUUGUUAAAUAAGUUAAGCAAAUAAGUGCUCGUUUGGAUGAGUUUUUUAAAAUGAUUUUAAGCAAAUAAGUUAAGAAUUCUAGCUUUUGGCUUUUGGCUUGUUUUUGUCAUUUUAGCUUAAAAAUACGUGCUUAAAAGCACUUUUGUUACUUUAUCCAAAUACUACAAAAUGACUUAAAAGCUAUUUUGGCUUAAAAGCACUUAGUGGACGUUUGAACAUAAGAAUUGUAAAAUUCCAAAAAAAAAAAAUAAAAAAAAAUUCAAGUGAAAAUGAUAUUUGAAAUUUAGAGUUGUAUUUGGACAUGAAUAUCAUUUUGGAUUAUUUUUGAAGUUUUGUGAGUGAUCUGAGUGAAAAUUUUGAAAAACAAUUUUUUGGAGUUUUUCAAAUUUUCGAAAAAUUCCAAAAUACAUCUUAUGAAUAAACGAUGGUAACCUAUUUCCUGGAGGUGCGUGUUGGACUAACAUGGCCACCAAUCGACGACCUCACACUAGGAAAUAAUGUAAAAUUGGAAAUUGCCCUACUUAAUUAGUUUGAAAAACUACUAGUUGUAGUUAUAAUACAUGUAGAAGAAAAUGAUAAAAUAUCCAUGUAAGUAGUUUUCUUCCUUUAUUCCAUUCAAACACGCUUACAAUAUCAAGAAACUUAAAAUGCUUAAUUCAUUGAGGAAAUUGAUUAAAACCCUUUUAUUUUUCUAGUCAUAAUCAAUUCUCAAAGAUAGCGGGAAUACAGAAAUAUAAAAUAAGGUUGCGUAUAAUAGACUCUUGCGGUCUGAUCCUUUCCCGAAUCCCGUGUAUAGCGGGAGCUUAGUGCACUAGGUGUCAAUCAAUCCUCAAGCACAAUCUUGACACCUCCAAUUUUUACAGCACCAGAACCAUUCUUUGGAACAAAAGUCACCACCACAUGAUCAUCAUCCUCAGCAUCUAAAUCUUCCAACAGCUCAGUUAUAGCCAACUUCAACUUAGUUUUACGUUUCUUGUCACUCUUACCAUGACUAUGAUGUGGCACGUUAACAAAACUACCUGCAAACUCAGCAUUAUUCGGCGAAAUUACAGUCUCAUCUUCAUCAUUAAUCAACACAUCAAACUUGACAAAAACAUCAGUUUCCAGCUCUAUCCCUUCAACUACUAAAAACUCCUCUUUUGCAUCUUUCUCCUUCUUGUUUCUCUUCUUAAUUGGCCUCUUUACCAUAACUCUUAUCACAUGGUCAAGUUUCGUUGGGAAAACAUCUUUUGCACUUGGAAAAUUAUCAGCUGCUCUUGCUUCAACAAGCCUCCUUACACUACUCAAAGCACUUGAAACCCUAGCCCUUGGACGAGAAUUUAUCCACGGAUUAGCUACACCUUGAUAAACGUAUCCAAGUCUUGUUGUAUCCAAACAGUCACGUACCCUAAUACGUACCAUUUGUGCUUUCUCAUCAUAAAACAAAAACGAAGCAUUUAAGAAAUCAGGGUCAGUAAAAUCUUGACGUCUUCCACCUAGGGUUUUCCAAACACUCCACAAUCUAUCAAUAUUAGAAUGAUGAGCAUAGAAAAUAGGGUCUCUAGCAGCUGAAUAAAAAUCUCCCAUGUUCUCAAAAUUAGGUUGGGUUCUAUCACCGGUCCAAACAUGGACCGGUCCAUGUGGAAUGUUCUCGAGGGACCCAGCACCACCCGGUUCGCCACCGGCACGGUAAGGGUCUCCGAGGAAAGUCGCUGGAGUACUUCCUAGUGAAACCAUUUGCCUAUACAUGAUAGUGAGAUUUUGGGAAGUUUGUUGAGCGUUACUUAUGUUAGGAUCCGUUCCAUUGAAGUCGAGAUCGACCAUGACCGGAGGCUGAUGCCUCCGAUCACGGAGAGGAUCAAAGAGAGAAGAACUACGGUUCGCAUACAUGGCAGGAAGUCUCAUGCCAUCAGGAUGAUCCCAGUUCCAAAAUGGGAUAACGAAAGUAGGGUCAUUUAUCAAACUUCCCAAGAUUUUUUCGAAGAAGUAGAGAUAACAACGAUGAAAAGGGAGGAAAAGCCAAGAGAAAUGAACUUGGAGUUCAGAGUUUGGGAAACCUAGUUGGUCAUAGGCACCGUCACAGUAAGCACAAUGAACAUUUGCUUGUUGCCUGAAGCUACGUGGAUCAUCGUCUGGAAGUUGUUUCAUGAGCUGAAUAGCU
This 3730-nucleotide long non-coding RNA is filed under the name Nicotiana tabacum (common tobacco). Its description in RNAcentral is "long non-coding RNA (NTAB_LNC011581)". The record is from RNAcentral. Lineage: Eukaryota; Viridiplantae; Streptophyta; Magnoliopsida; Solanales; Solanaceae.